UCGAAGAUCGAGGUAGUGACGAAAAUAACGAUCCAGGACUCAUCCGAGGCCCUGGAAUCGGAAUGAGUACACUUUAAAACCGUCCCCGAGGAUCUAUUGGAGGGCAAGUCUGGUGCCAGCAGCCGCGGUAAUUCCAGCUCCAAUAGCGUAUAUUAAAGUUGUUGUGGUUAAAAAGCUCGUAGUUGGAUCUCGGCGGACUGAGGGCGGUUUGCUUGCUAGUAUUACUGCCCUAUAGUCCGUAGUUUUGCCAGAGGUUUCGGGGUGCUCUUAAUCGAGUGUCCCGGGAUGCUGGCAGGUUUACUUUGAAAAAAUUAGAGUGCUCAAAGCAGGCUAUUACGCCUGAAUAUUCGUGCAUGGAAUAAUAGAAUAGGAAGUCGUUUCUAUUUUGUUGGUUUUCGGAAAUCGACUUAAUGAUUAAUAGGGACAGUCGGGGGCAUUUGUAUUCAAACGACAGAGGUGAAAUUCUUGGACCGUUUGAAGACAAACUACUGCGAAAGCAUUUGCCAAGAAUGUUUUCAUUAAUCAAGAACGAAAGUUAAAGGUUCGAAGGCGAUUAGAUACCGCCCUAGUUUUAACCAUAAACGAUGCCAGCUAGCGAUCUGCGGACGUUUUUUUUGUAGACUCCGCAGGAAGCUUCCGGGAAACCAAAGCAUUUGGGUUCCAGGGGAAGUAUGGUUGCAAAGCUGAAACUUAAAGGAAUUGACGGAAGGGCACCACCAGGAGUGGAGCCUGUGGCUUAAUUUGACUCAACACGGGAAAUCUCACCAGGCCCGGACACUGGAAGGAUUGACAGAUUGAUAGCUCUUUCUUGAUUCGGUGGGUGGUGGUGCAUGGCCGUUCUUAGUUGGUGGAGUGAUUUGUCUGGUUAAUUCCGAUAACGAACGAGACUCUGUCCUGCUAAAUAGUGUCUGCUUCUCUUUUGAGCAGACAAUUCUUCUUAGAGGGACUGGCGACUCUUAGUCGCACGAGAUUGAGCAAUAACAGGUCUGUGAUGCCCUUAGAUGUUCUGGGCCGCACACGCGCUACACUGAAUAGAUCAGCGUGUUCUCCCUUUCCGAGAGGAACGGGUAAACCGCUGAACCCUAUUCGUGGUAGGGAUCGGGGCUUGCAAUUAUUCCCCGUGAACCAGGAAUUCCCAGUAGGCGCAAGUCAUAAGCUUGCGUCGAUUACGUCCCUGCCCUUUGUACACACCGCCCGUCGCUACUACCGAUUGAACGUUUUAGUGAGGUCCUCGGACUGUUUGCCUGGCGGAUUACUCUGCCUGGC
Molecule: ribosomal RNA, 1266 nt
Filed under: Calanus pacificus
Lineage: Eukaryota; Metazoa; Arthropoda; Copepoda; Calanoida; Calanidae
Description: SSU rRNA
Rfam family: Eukaryotic small subunit ribosomal RNA
Source: RNAcentral